Long non-coding RNA from Drosophila sulfurigaster albostrigata, 522 nucleotides. RefSeq lists it as uncharacterized. Lineage: Eukaryota; Metazoa; Arthropoda; Insecta; Diptera; Drosophilidae. The record is from RefSeq and is a predicted model, not a curated record. The transcript is spliced from 2 exons.
GGAACUGCAAGCAGCUGUACAGGGAUUUGUUGGGACUCAACUUGUUGAUGUCUUUUUUAUUAUUACGCCUCAAUCCAUUCAAACUAUACAAUUAUGUGUUGGGAUUUUUUGUUUUUCGAAAGCAGUCAGCUUAACUUUGAUAUUUACAACAAACUGUGUAGAACCUUUCAGCAAUUUUAUUUCAUUAGUUUCAUAUUUCGUUGACACAUUUAUAUAAAGUAUAUUCAAAAUGUUUUUCGAAAUUGCAAAUAUUUUUAAAAUCUUCCAGAAAUACUAAACAACAAUGAAAAUUUGAAAUCAGGAAUCUAUAAAGCAUUGUUUUCCAUGAGAAUAUCAAAAUGGAAAUGCAUGGACUGAAGAACAGACUUUGCUGCUUAAGCAGAUGAUCUAUUCCGAAUAAUAUGUUAAAUAAACAAUUAAGUUUAGAAUCAAUCAAUAUUUUGUAUAUAAUUUCUGCAUCCAAAAAUAUCCGUUCUUGUCGAACUGAAUGAUCAAUAGAUUCGCUACUAUUUAUUAUAUUAA